Molecule: RNA transcript, 3696 nt
Organism: Oncorhynchus keta (chum salmon)
Lineage: Eukaryota; Metazoa; Chordata; Actinopteri; Salmoniformes; Salmonidae
Gene name: eukaryotic translation initiation factor 4B-like
Exons: 14
Source: RefSeq, a predicted model, not a curated record
GAAGGAUUUGAGGCUCGAAACCAAAGAUGCGCGUUCUUGUUAAUAAACUUCUGACGCCUUCAUCCGGGAAUCUGGUACGAACUCGCUCUCCAACAUGGCGGCGGCAGCUAAGAAAAAGGGGAAUAAGAAGGGGAAGACUCUGACCCUCACUGACUUCCUCGCAGAGGACAGUGGGAGUGGGGGCAAUGCUCCACCACCGCAACCCAGCUACGCCAAGUCCACCAGCUGGGCUGAUGAGACCGAUGACCUGGAAGGAGAUGUGUCCACCUCCUGGCACACAGGGGAGGACAGUUACCGGGCCCCCGCAAUAGACCGUAACAUCCUGCCCACUGCGCCACGGUCGGCCCGUGAGCCCAAUGUGGACCGCUCACGCCUCCCCCGCAGCCCCCCCUACACAGCCUUCCUGGGCAACCUGCCCUACGACGUCUCAGAGGAAUCUAUCAAGGACUUCUUCCGGGGCCUAGCGAUCAGUGCGGUGCGCUUGCCACGGGAGCCCAGUAACCCAGAGAGGCUGAAGGGCUUUGGCUACGCAGAGUUUGACGACGUGGACUCCCUCUUGAGGGCGCUGACUCUCAACGAGGAGAACCUGGGAAACCGCAGGAUCCGGGUGGAUAUUGCAGAUCAGUCCAAUGACAAGGAGGGGAGAGACAAUGGUCAGAUGGGUGGACGAGACCGGAUGGGUCGCAUGGGAGACAUGGCAGGCCCCGACAAGACAGACAGUGAUGACUGGAGGGCCCGGCCCACUGCAGACGCCGAUGAUGGACCCCCAAAGAGAGAGGAAUCCGCCUUUGGGUCACGCGACCGCUACGGAGACCGUGACGGGCUGCGAAGGGACAACGACCGCGGCUUCGGCGACCGUGGCGGCGACCGGGACCGCGGCUUUGGCGGCAGAGACCGCUAUGACGACCGGGGAGGUGAGAACGGAGCCUUUGGCUCCCGCAGGGAUAGGGAUGACGGAGGGCGACGUGCCUUCGGCAGUGGGUACCGCCGUGACGAUGACGAUCAGAGUGGCGGAGGUGGUGGUAGCCGCUAUGGGGCCCGGGAUCGCUACGGCGGAGACCGGGAGGGCCGGUACGAGAGGCAGGACGAAGGGCGCGAGGAGAGAGGUGGUCCCACCGAGAGGCCCAAGCUGGUCCUGAAGCCGCGCAGCAUGGCCAAGGAGGAGCAGCAGGCCGGCAGCGGUGGGGCUGCUCCGGCAGCCGCCCGCAGCUCUGGUCGAGCCUCCAUCUUUGGAGCGGCCAAGCCCGUGGACACAGCGGCUAAGGAGCGGGAGGUCGAGGAGAAGCUCCAGAGGCAGCUGGAAGAGGACCAGUCCAAGGGCUUCGAUAGGAAACCUCGCGACAGAGACAGGGACCCAAGCUGGAGGAAUGAGGAGACGCCCUCUGAGCUGUCCCGCACAGGAAGUGAGUCAUCACAUCCCGGAAGUACCUCUGGAGGGAGAGCCUCACGGCGCAGAGAGAGCGAGCGCUCAGUGGAGAACGAAGUAUUCAGCGGUAAGGAGGACGACCCUCCCUCUCCUGUGGCUCGCCCCUCUUCUGCCAACUCUUCCACCUUCUCAUCCAAGGAGCCCCUCAAGGUGAUGCCUGCACCGCCACCUAAGGAUAAUGUCUGGGCCAAGCGGCCUGCUUUGAGUACCGGGUCCAGCGAGGGAUGCGCCCCUAUCUCUACCAGUGACACGGCACCUCCCAAACUGAGAAAGUCUAAAAGAAGAGGCAGAGACUCAAGACCUGCACCAGAGCCAAAGAAAUACGAAGAGUCCCCCACCCUUAAAUUCAGCUCAGCCGGUAAAUACGCUGCUCUGCUAAUGGACAGAGAGCAAGGAGAUGACUCAGAGAAUGGUGUGGAAUAAAACCAGAAGGGGAGAAAGAAGAGGAAAUCCAGAAUAUCACAUUAAAUAUGAACAUCUUCUCACCUGGAGUAGAGGCACCUGGGAAAGUCAUCACUCAUUCCUUCUUUACUCAAAACCCAUCCCAGACCCCUUCCCUACCCCCUCUCUUCAGGACUUUUCAGUAUCUAAAAAGAGUAGUCACGUACUGGACUUGUUUUAAAUGGAAAAGCGGAAUAGGAAGAAGUUUGUUACUGGAUCCUGACUUUCCAGGCUGACCUACCUGACCGUAUGUGCAGUAAAAAAGCCAGUAUUUAACUGACAGAAUAGGAUAAAGGUACAGUACAUUGCCUUCGGAAAGUAUUCAGACCCCUUAACUUUUUCCACAUUUUGUUACGUUGCAGCCUUAUUCUAAAAUGGAUUAAAUAAAUAACAAGUCCUCAGCUAUCUACACUAGCCCACAAUGACGAUUCAAAAACAGGUUUUUAGGAAUCUUUGCGUAUUAGUAUUUAUUAAAAAUAAAAACCAUACCUUAUUUACAUAAGUAUUCAGACCCUUUGCUGUGAGACUUGAAAUUGAGCUCAGGUGCAUCCUGUUUCCAUUGAUCAUCCUUGAUGUUUAUACAACUUGAUUUAGAGUUCACCUGUGGAAAAAGUAUAAUGAUUGGACAUGAUUUGGAAAGGCACACACCUGUCUAUAUAAAGGUCCCACAGUGGACAGUGCAUGUCAGAACAAAAACCAAGCCAUGAGGUCAAAGGAAUUGUCCAUAAAGCUCAGACAGGAUUGUUUCAAGGAACAGAUCUGGGGAAGGGUACCAAAAAAUAUCUGCAGCACUGAUGGUCCCCAAGAACACAGUGGCCUCCAUCAUUCUUAAAUGGAAGACAUUUGGCACCAAGACUUCCUAGAGCAGGCUACCUUGCCAAAUUGAGUAGCCUUGGCCAGAGAGGUGACAAAGAACCUGAUGGGCACUCCAGAGCUCCAGAGUUCCUCUGUGGAGAUGGGAGAACCUUCCAUGAGGCCAACCAUCUCUGCAGCACUCUACCAAUCAGGCCUGUAUGUUAGUGGCCAGCCAAAAGCCACUCAAUAAAAGGCACAUGACAGCCUUCUUGGAGUUUGCCAAAAGGCACCUAAAAACAAGUUUCUCUGGUCUGAUGAAACCAAGAUUGAACUGUUUACCCCAUCCAACCUGACAGCGCUUGAGAAGAUCUGCAUAGAAGAAUGGGAGGAGCUCCCCAAAUAAAGGUGUGCCAAGCUUGUAGCGUCAUAUCCAAGAAGACUUGAGGCUGUAAUCGCUGCCAAAGGUGCUUCAACAAAGUACUGGGAAAAUGUCAAAAUAUUUAUGUCAAUUGAAUAUUUGUUUUUUAUUUGUAAUAAAUUUGCAAACAUUUCUAAAACUAUUUUCUUUGUCAUUAUGUGGUAUCUGUAGAUUGAGGGGGGGGGGGCAAUUUGAUACAUUUUAGAAUAAACUGUAAUUUAACAAUGUGUGGGAAAAGUCUAGCUCUGAGUACUUUCCGAAUGCACUGAACAUAUUGUCACAGAGUACCCUGAUUGGUCCAGCCAACACUAACGAUGACAUGGUUCUCAAUGGGUGUGCCUGUUUUGCACAGCUAGCUCAUGGUGAACCACGAAAGCGGCAAAGGAGGAGUUUGCUGUUGUAUUUGAGUACUGUAGAGCCUGGGAGCUGUGAAUGUCAUCACUAAGUAAAGCGUGACAGAGGAGAGGUUCAGACUGAUCAAAAUGACUGAUCAGAUGGCACCAUGACACUGCCAUUUUCCUCAUUGUUGAUCAAUUAUCAGAAGUUCUCCACCACCUGCAAUUUUGUUUUUGACCCGUCUGUUUGGAGUGGGGCGUUUCCCACUGGGCUCCUAAAU